CAUCCGUUUGUACUGGUCAAACUGAGCAAAGGAGGACUCGUUACUUCUGGACCCUGCAGAGAUAGGGUGUACAUUUUGGAAGGAUUUUGUUUGUGGUUUAAAGUUCACAUUGCUUUUAAAAAGAUAUUUAAUGUUGAGCUGAGAGGAACCUGACCACAGCGAUGUUCUCCAUCCUGAGGAAAUUCUGCUUUUUGAAAGAGCUGAAAAACCCUCUAACACUAACUCUUAUGACCCAGAAAAUGAAUUUCAUAAGCACUGUGCAUGGGAAACAUUGAAGUGACGCUUUGUCUAAUCCAUAACAAGAAGUUUCAUGUAAAUAAUGAGGACGAAGAGAAACGAACAACACUACAUGUGGAGAUAAAUGGGAUUCUAAAGGUGUUGUUGAACUUCUAUUGAAACAAGGCAUGGCUCACUUCUUAUGGAGUGCAUUUGGAUGAAGUGCACUGCACUAUGCUAGCAGCUCUUUAACUAGAGACUGUGCCACCCAAACUUAGAAAAUGCCUGAUGAAGCAAUUAUGGGUUGACAAUAAACUUGCUGAAGCUUUGGUCUUACAUUCCUCCUGCUCCAGAAGAUCCGGACAUGGACAUCUGUGUGAGCACAAGUGUCAAGAAGCUGAGAGCACAGAAAGCAUAGCUGAGCUCGCCUCACUCCUGUUGGCCACAGAGUGGGAAAGCUGGGGUUCUCCCAUCACCCGAUUUCAUCAGCCCCUCAUCUUUAGCCCAUAUGUUCUCACCAUUUCCUUGGGUCCUCAUCAUUUACUUGAAAAUCCUCCUUCGAUGGAGACGCAGCACCACUUUGAAUUUUCCUGUGCACACUGCUUCAUGAAAUUUAUUCUCUGCCUCAUAUGACUGUUGGCAUUCGUUAGUUCUACACUUACAGCAGAACAAGGUCUCUUUCACUACCUGGGCCGUCACAAUACCCCAAGUGGAUUUUCGGCUCCUUCUUAAAGCAGAAGAGCUUCCUCAGAGUGGAGAACAUUGCUGUGGCCACCCUCCCAUCAGUUCAACAUGAAAUAAUUUUACAAAAUGAACUUUUAACUAUUGACCGCCUAACAACCUGAGUCAAACUCCACGACUCCCACAAAUGCGAGGCUGUUAUUUGACCAGUCAAACAGAAGAAUUCAGUUAUGGAACCGCCAUUGCUAAGUAACAUUGGUAAAGAAAAGCAUGCUUGUUCUUCCUCACGCAUAACUGAUGGUUCAUUGAGCAAAUCAUGCUCACUGUGCAUGUGUGUGUGUGAUAAGUGUUGUGGUCUUCCUUAGGUUUAAUAUGUGCAUAUCCUGCAAAGUCUCCACUGAUCCCUCAGGGUUGGUAGAGUCCUGUUUUUCCACACAAUAUCUUGCUUAUUGCUUCUCUGGGAUGGAGGUGUGCAAUUAUUCAUUAUAACAUCCUUUUCUUGAGUUUGUUGCUGUUGUUAAUUUUUGCUUGUUUGUUUUUGUUUGCAUUUUCAUGAAGAGGUCACAGGUGGGGAUUUCUUAGUACUGAAAUGGAACUUCUCUCUUGACAUUUCUCUCUGGUGUUUUGGUUCUGUGCUCUUGGAAUUUUCAACAUAGUGAAACUUUUCUGAGCUCAUGAGUGAUGGUACACACCUUUAGGUGGCAGAGACAUAUAGAUUUCUGUAAGCUUGAGAUAAGCCUGGUCUUCUGAGCCAGAGUUGCAUAGUAAUAAUGUCCUCUAAAAUAGAUAUAAAAAAUUAAAUUUAACAUUAUUAUAACUCUAUGUGGAGAAAUUAUUGUCCAGCCAUGACUGCUAUGAUUUUGAAUAUUUUCUAUACAGCUAAGUUGAUAUAUUUCUCUAGAUAUGGGGAGAUUUUUAUUCUUAUUUCAAAGAACAUGCUUCCUAUGUACUGAGUAUCUCCACACUCUUUGCAACUCAGAUAUUUAUAUUUGGUAUCUGAGGUAUUUUAAUGAGAAUUUCCCCUACAGAUUCUGAUAUUUGAACACUUGGUUCCAGGUUGUGGUGCUAUUUGGGAAGAUUGUGGAACAUCUGGGAAAUGGAGUUUUGAAAAAAUGACAUCUAUCCAUGCAGACAGGUCUUGAAUGUUCACAAUCUCUGCCCACUGUUUUCUCUCUGCUUCCUGAAUGUGGUUGAGACGGAAUCUCUAUGUUUACUUUUCUUGGCUCCGUGUAUGCCAUUUGUUGCUGAGUCUCCCCAACAUGACAACACCUGUGUUUCUAGAAUUGGAAGCCCAAAUACACUUUCUUCUACAAGUUGCUUCUGGCAAUUACGUUUUAUCACAGAAACAGAAAAUUGACAAAUACAGUCUUUGAAUACCAGCAUCCCAGAGAUCUUGAAAGAUGCAGUUAUUACUUUUAAGUUAUUAGUGCCUUAAUGUAAUAAUACAUGUACCUUAGUAUCCAACCCUGUCUACUGGAUUCUUUCUAUUGCUGAUGCUUUUGACAGAAUUUCUUUGCUUUAUAUGUAGAGAUAGAUUUCCAUAUUAAAAACUGCAAAACUCAAACUCCCAAUGGUCAGCCACCUGAACAAGUAUAUAACAACACAAAUUAUCCUUGGUGUAUUUGGAGGGUUGGGACAAGUGUGGGAGAGUGAACCUAGGAGCCGUGGGAAGUUAGUGUGAUUGGGAUGCAUUGUAUGAGAUUCCAAGAUUAUCCAUAAAAAUAUUAUAUUGGAAAAAUUACAGCAAGUUUUCACAUUAGUUCUCCUGUAUUUCACAUCCAAAUUCUGGGUCCUUUUCCUUAUAUAUUCAGCUUUUUUGUGUGUCUUCAUUGAAACAAUGGAUGUUUUAUUUCUAAUUAUUUUAAAAUUUAUUUUUGUUACAGUUAUUCUGACAAAAUUUAAA
Myodes glareolus (Bank vole) is the source of this 2800-nucleotide non-coding RNA. Lineage: Eukaryota; Metazoa; Chordata; Mammalia; Rodentia; Cricetidae. The record is from RefSeq and is a predicted model, not a curated record.